GCCCUCUUAGCUCAGUGGUAGAGCGCGUCACUCGUAUAACAUUAGUACAUGACGAGGUCAGUCGUUCAAGUCGGCUAGGGGGCA
RNAcentral lists this transfer RNA (84 nucleotides) under Termitomyces sp. J132. It matches the Rfam family "tRNA". From Rfam's summary of the family: Transfer RNA (tRNA) molecules are approximately 80 nucleotides in length. Their secondary structure includes four short double-helical elements and three loops (D, anti-codon, and T loops). The record is from Rfam by way of RNAcentral. RNAcentral also lists the same sequence under 1 other name. Lineage: Eukaryota; Fungi; Basidiomycota; Agaricomycetes; Agaricales; Lyophyllaceae.